CCCUUAGAUGUUCUGGGCCGCACACGCGCUACACUGAAGGAGGCAGCGUGUACUCCUGGAUCGAAAGAUUUGGGUAACCCGCGAAUCUCCUUCGUGCUAGGGAUUGAGGUUUGCAAUUAUCCUUCAUGAACGAGGAAUUCCCAGUAAGUGCAAGUCAUAAGCUUGCGCUGACUACGUCCCUGCCCUUUGUACACACCGCCAGUCGCUACUACCGAUUGAAUGAUUUAGUGAGGACUUCGGACUGGGACCGAUGCGGCUUUCGGGCUGCGUCGGUAUUCUGGAAAGAUGUCCAAACUGUAUCAUUUAGAGGAAGUAAAANUCGUANCA
Molecule: ribosomal RNA, 327 nt
Filed under: uncultured eukaryote
Lineage: Eukaryota
Description: partial 18S ribosomal RNA
Rfam family: Eukaryotic small subunit ribosomal RNA
Source: RNAcentral